GCUCUCAUAGCUCAACGGAUAGAGCACGGGCCUCCGGAGCUCGGGAUAGAGGUUCGAAUCCUCUUGGGAGCACCA
Molecule: transfer RNA, 75 nt
Filed under: Candidatus Doudnaibacteriota bacterium
Lineage: Bacteria; Candidatus Doudnaibacteriota
Description: Candidatus Doudnabacteria bacterium tRNA-Arg
Rfam family: tRNA
About the family: Transfer RNA (tRNA) molecules are approximately 80 nucleotides in length. Their secondary structure includes four short double-helical elements and three loops (D, anti-codon, and T loops).
Source: RNAcentral